This 504-nucleotide ribosomal RNA is filed under the name uncultured bacterium. RNAcentral's name for it is "bacterial SSU rRNA". It matches the Rfam family "Bacterial small subunit ribosomal RNA", at positions 29 to 524 of the family's 1533-position model. The record is from RNAcentral.
AACGAACGCUGGCGGCGCGCCUAAUACAUGCAAGUCGAGCGAGAAGGUGUAACAAUACACUUGUAAAGCGGCGAACGGGUGAGGAAUGCAUGGGUAACCUACCCUCGAGUGGGGAAUAACUAGCCGAAAGGUUAGCUAAUACCGCAUACGUUUCCGGAACUUCGGUUUCGGAAAGAAAGCAAUACCGUGGGUAUUGCGCUCCUGGAUGGGCUCAUGUCCUAUCAGCUUGUUGGUGAGGUAACGGCUCACCAAGGCUUCGACGGGUAGCUGGUCUGAGAGGACGAUCAGCCACACUGGCACUGCGACACGGGCCAGACUCCUACGGGAGGCAGCAGUAAGGAAUAUUGCGCAAUGGACGAAAGUCUGACGCAGCGACGCCGCGUGGGGGAUGAAGGUCUUCGGAUUGUAAACCCCUUUCGGGAGGGAAGAUGGAGUGGGGUAACCACUUGGACGGUACCUCCACGAAGCAGCCACGGCUAACUUCGUGCCAGCAGCCGCGGUAAU